This is an RNA transcript of Quercus lobata, 2356 nucleotides long. It is a transcript of the gene named lysine--tRNA ligase, cytoplasmic-like, with no coding region annotated. The transcript has 18 exons. Lineage: Eukaryota; Viridiplantae; Streptophyta; Magnoliopsida; Fagales; Fagaceae. The record is from RefSeq and is a predicted model, not a curated record.
CACACACAGUGAUUCAAUGAAAGAGUAUAUCAAAACACAAUAAACAGUGAAAUAAAGAGAGAGAGAGAGAGCUAAAAAACCAGAUGAAGCGGCGGCAGAUGAAGCGGCGGUGGCGGCAGAUCAAGGACAGUCCCGGCGGCGGCACCGCGGCAGAUUCUGGGGGCUACAGAGCUGCAGAUUUUUUUGUGUGUGAAGCAGCCUUUUUCCAUUGGGUUUGGAUAGUGAAGAAGGAUCGUGGGAGAUUUUGGGGGCAGCGUCUACGCAGAUUUCUGAUUGGUCUAGGUCUUAUUAAAAAUGGAGGACUUGGGGUCGGUGACAGGCUCCCCUGCUGCUGGGGAAAAUCUCAGCAAAAAUGCACUCAAGAAGGAAUUGAAGAAUAAGCAAAAGGAAGAAGAAAGGCGGCGCAAAGAGGAGGAGAAGGCAAAACAGGCUGCUUCUAUGGCAGAUUCCCGCAGCAAGAAAUCUGCAGCAGCUGACGAUGAAGAUAUGGAUCCAACGCAAUACUUCGAAAAUAGAUUGAAGUAUCUUGCAGCUCUGAGGGCAGCUGGUGAAGAGCCAUAUCCUCACAAAUUCCCUGUUACAAUGUCUAACCCUGAAUAUGUAGAGCAGUAUAAAAACAUAGGCAAUGGGGAGCAUCUUGAGGAUGUUACUGUAAAUUUGGCUGGGCGUAUCAUGAGCAAACGCUCAUCUUCUUCAAAGCUAUUCUUUUAUGAUUUACAUGGUGGUGCUGCUAAAGUCCAAGUUAUGGCUGAUGCUAGCAAGUCGGAUUUGAAUGAGGAAGAAUUUUCUAGGUUCCAUUCGACUGUGAAGCGUGGUGAUAUUGUUGGUGUCAAGGGGUUUCCAGGGAAAACUAAAAGGGGGGAGCUAAGUAUUUUUCCAAGAUCGUUUAUAGUCUUAACCCAUUGUCUCCAUAUGAUGCCAAGGCAAAAGCUUAAGGCUGGUUCUGUGUCUGACAAUGCCAAUUUGAAGAAAGAGGAGGCUUGGGUCCCAGGACGUGCCAGGAAUCCUAAAACAUAUAUUUUGAAAGACCAGGAAACUCGUUAUCGACAACGCUAUUUAGAUUUGAUGUUGAAUAUGGAGGUUCGACAAAUUUUUGAGACAAGAACUCGGAUCAUUAAAUAUAUUCGGCACUUUCUUGACAAUCGUGAUUUCUUGGAGGUUGAAACACCAAUGAUGAAUACGAUUGCUGGUGGAGCAGCUGCCCGUCCGUUUGUGACCCAUCACAAUGACCUGAACAUGAAGCUAUUCAUGCGCAUUGCACCUGAGCUCUAUCUGAAGCAGCUUGUUGUUGGUGGAUUGGACCGUGUUUAUGAGAUUGGAAAGCAGUUCAGAAAUGAGGGCAUCGAUUUGACACAUAAUCCUGAGUUCACCACCUGUGAGUUCUAUAUGGCUUAUGCUGACUACAAUGACUUGAUGGAACUCACCGAGACAAUGUUGAGUGGGAUGGUAAAGGAACUUACAGGUGGAUAUAAAAUUAAAUAUCAUGCAAAUGGGCUGGAUGAGGAUCCGAUUGAGAUUGACUUCACUCCACCUUUCAGAAGGAUUGACAUGAUAGAAGAAUUAGAGAAGAUGGCGAACCUCAAUAUUCCCAAGGACUUUUCCAGUGAUGAGGCCAACAAAUAUUUGAAAGAUGCAUGCACAAAUUAUAAGAUCAAAUGUGCCCCUCCUGAAACAACAGCGCGUUUGUUGGACAAACUUGUAGGACACUUCUUGGAAGAGACUUGUACAAAUCCUGCUUUCAUCAUUAACCACCCGGAGUUAAUGAGUCCUUUGGCAAAGUGGCAUAGAACAAAGAAAGGCCUAACCGAGCGUUUUGAGUUAUUUAUUAACAAGCAUGAACUCUGCAAUGCAUACACUGAAUUGAAUGACCCUGUGGUACAACGCCAGCGAUUUGCUGAGCAGCUCAAGGUUCACGCAUCAGUUUUGAUCGGCAAUCUGGUGAUGAUGAAGCAAUGGCUUUGGAUGAAACCUUCUGUACGGCUCUUGAGUAUGGGUUGCCUCCAACCGGUGGUUGGGGAUUGGGUAUUGAUCGGCUAACAAUGUUGUUAACUGAUUCACAAAACAUUAAGGAGGUUAUUCUCUUCCCAGCCAUGAAACCUCAAGAUGAGCCAUCUGCUAAAGAGGGCGGUGCUGGAACCAGCAAUGCAAGGGCGUGACAUGAACUAGCAAAUUGCUUCUGGAGAUUUGUAUGGCACUUUGGUUUUUUACAGAUUGAUACAGAUUUCUCCGUAAACAUUGUUGAUUUGUUUGGUUCGUAGAAAAGUAAAGAAAUUGUGAGGGACCGAGAGAAAGAUCUGGAUUUUUCUCAUUUCUACACAUUAGUACAAAGCUGCUUCUCUCCUCUCUUACAUAUAUA